RNAcentral lists this ribosomal RNA (406 nucleotides) under uncultured bacterium. RNAcentral's name for it is "partial 16S ribosomal RNA". It matches the Rfam family "Bacterial small subunit ribosomal RNA", at positions 30 to 526 of the family's 1533-position model. The record is from RNAcentral.
AUUGAACGCUGGCGGCAGGCAUAACACAUGCAAGUCGAGCGAGCGGCGGACGGGUGGGUAAUGUCUGGGAAACUGCCUGAUGGAGGGGGAUAACUACUGGAAACGGUAGCUAAUACCGCAUACCAUCAGAUGUGCCCAGAUGGGAUUAGCUAGUAGGUGGGGUAAUGGCUCACCUAGGCUACGCUCCAUAGCUGGUCUGAGAGGAUGACCAGACACACUGGAACUGAGAAACGGUCCAGACUCCUACGGGAGGCAGCAGUGGGGAAUAUUGCACAAUGGGCGCAAGCCUGAUGCAGCCCUGCCGCGUGUAUGAAGAAGGCCUUCGGGUUGUAAAGUACUUUCAGCGGGGAGGCGUUACUCGCAGAAGAAGCACCGGCUAACUCCGUGCCAGCAGCCGCGGUAAUAC